Molecule: ribosomal RNA, 255 nt
Filed under: uncultured bacterium
Lineage: Bacteria
Description: partial 16S ribosomal RNA
Rfam family: Bacterial small subunit ribosomal RNA
Source: RNAcentral
UACGUAGGGUGCGAGCGUUGUCCGGAAUUAUUGGGCGUAAAGAGCUCGUAGGCGGUCUGUCGCGUCGAAUGUGAAAACCCGGGGCUCAACUCCGGGCUUGCAUUCGAUACGGGCAGGCUAGAGUUCGGUAGGGGAGUCUGGAAUUCCUGGUGUAGCGGUGGAAAUGACGCAGAUAUCAGGAGGAACACCGGUGGCGAAGGCGGGACUCUGGGCCGAUACUGACGCUGAGGAGCGAAAGCGUGGGGAGCGAACAGG